Callithrix jacchus (white-tufted-ear marmoset) is the source of this 586-nucleotide long non-coding RNA. RefSeq lists it as uncharacterized. The record is from RefSeq and is a predicted model, not a curated record. Lineage: Eukaryota; Metazoa; Chordata; Mammalia; Primates; Cebidae.
UCAGACUGCAGCCACGUAAACACUGAAUCUGCCUGCAAACGUCAGGAAAACUGGACGUAAGGUGAGGCUUGAAACACCACUGGCUUCAUUGAUGCCCACAGGCUGCGCAAACUCCCUUCACGGCCUUUGCAUCAAGACCAACUUAAAAAUGAAUGCCCCAGUGAACCCUUCCCCGACCUCUAAGAAGAACAGAAGAAGAGGAAGGAAGAAGAAGCUGGAGGACAGUCAAGCCCCAAGGCACCCUAGGCGUGUAGCAGCCCAGGGCCGGUGACGCGAAGCCCUCAGCCUGCCUGAGACUCUCCUGGCCACUUGGCAGUGGCCUCUGGUAUAAUUUUCUCCCAGUGACUUAUUUUCUCUGUUGUUAGUUUCCUGGGGCUGCCAUAACCAUGUGCCACAAACUGGGUGGCUUAGACCAGCAGUCCACAACCUUUUAAGCACCAGGGAGCAGUUUCAUGGAAGACAAUUUUUCCACAGACUGGGGGUGGGGAGAUGGUUUUGGGAUGAUUCAGGUGCCUUACAUUGAUUGUUCAUUUUAUUUCUACUAUGAUUACAUAACAUAUAUUAAAGAAUUAUAUUUUAUAUAUUA